UGUCGCCUCCUCUGAUCUGCUCCCUCUGGAGAUGGGGAAAUCCAGAGUAGGGGCAACAGGAAGUAUAUUCCCAAGAAGACUGUAGACCCCCGCACAGGGAAACGAUGGAGCUCAGGAGGGGCGCUGAUCUCGGGAGCCUGGAUCCACCAGUUAUGCAAGUGAUGAAGGUACUCAAGAAAAAGCAUGAUGUGGUGGGGAAGGGCUGCAGCCCAGCCCUGUGCCUGCAUCCCACGCAUUUCUACUUGAUU
RNAcentral lists this long non-coding RNA (248 nucleotides) under Homo sapiens (human). Its description in RNAcentral is "HSALNT0024314". Lineage: Eukaryota; Metazoa; Chordata; Mammalia; Primates; Hominidae. The record is from RNAcentral.